AGGAAAUGUGAGCUUCUGAUUCUUUCUUGUUUUCUUAGGAUCAUUGAGAAAUUCAUGAACAUGGGUGAAGAUUUAUCUGGAAAGUGUUUUGUAUAAUAACAUGUCAUUCUUAAGUUGUUCAUUUUUUGAUGGUUCAUAUUAUACACGGCAAGUUUAAGGCGUUAAUCAAAAGUGAUUGGUUUAUGAUUGAGAGGGUGUGUUUAAAGUCCUCUGCUACUGUUGGUCUGAGAUUCUUUUUUGUUUUUUUUUAAUAUACUUUAAUUG
Molecule: unclassified non-coding RNA, 264 nt
Filed under: Hevea brasiliensis (rubber tree)
Lineage: Eukaryota; Viridiplantae; Streptophyta; Magnoliopsida; Malpighiales; Euphorbiaceae
Source: RNAcentral